AUUGAACGCUGGCGGCAGGCCUAAUACAUGCAAGUCGAAUGGUAACAGGAAACAGCUUGCUGUUUCGCUGACGAGUGGCGGACGGGUGAGUAAUGUCUGGGAAACUGCCUGAUGGAGGGGGAUAACUACUGGAAACGGUAGCUAAUACCGCAUAACGUCGCAAGACCAAAGAGGGGGACCUUCGGGCCUCUUGCCAUCAGAUGUGCCCAGAUGGGAUUAGCUAGUAGGUGGGGUAACGGCUCACCUAGGCGACGAUCCCUAGCUGGUCUGAGAGGAUGACCAGCCACACUGGAACUGAGACACGGUCCAGACUCCUACGGGAGGCAGCAGUGGGGAAUAUUGCACAAUGGGCGCAAGCCUGAUGCAGCCAUGCCGCGUGUAUGAAGAAGGCCUUCGGGUUGUAAAGUACUUUCAGCGGGGAGGAAGGGAGUAAAGUUAAUACCUUUGCUCAUUGACGUUACCCGCAGAAGAAGCACCGGCUAACUCCGUG
Molecule: ribosomal RNA, 490 nt
Filed under: uncultured bacterium
Lineage: Bacteria
Description: partial 16S ribosomal RNA
Rfam family: Bacterial small subunit ribosomal RNA
Source: RNAcentral